RNAcentral lists this ribosomal RNA (301 nucleotides) under uncultured bacterium. Its description in RNAcentral is "partial 16S ribosomal RNA". It matches the Rfam family "Bacterial small subunit ribosomal RNA", at positions 509 to 809 of the family's 1533-position model. The record is from RNAcentral.
CAGUCGCCGCGGGAAUACAGAGGGUGCAAGCGUUAAUCGGAAUUACUGGGCGUAAAGCGUGCGUAGGCGGCUUCUUAAGUCGGAUGUGAAAUCCCUGAGCUUAACUUAGGAAUUGCAUUCGAUACUGGGAAGCUAGAGUAUGGGAGAGGAUGGUAGAAUUCCAGGUGUAGCGGUGAAAUGCGUAGAGAUCUGGAGGAAUACCGAUGGCGAAGGCAGCCAUCUGGCCUAAUACUGACGCUGAGGUACGAAAGCAUGGGGAGCAAACAGGAUUAGAGACCCGAGUAGUCCCUGUCUCUUAUAA